UACGUAGGGUGCGAGCGUUGUCCGGAAUUAUUGGGCGUAAAGGGCUCGUAGGCGGUUUGUCGCGUCGGGAGUGAAAACAUCUGGCUUAACUGGGUGCUUGCUUUCGAUACGGGCAGACUAGAGGUAUGCAGGGGAGAACGGAAUUCCUGGUGUAGCGGUGAAAUGCGCAGAUAUCAGGAGGAACACCGGUGGCGAAGGCGGUUCUCUGGGCAUGACCUGACGCUGAGGAGCGAAAGUGUGGGGAGCGAACAGG
This 253-nucleotide ribosomal RNA is filed under the name uncultured bacterium. Its description in RNAcentral is "partial 16S ribosomal RNA". It matches the Rfam family "Bacterial small subunit ribosomal RNA", at positions 524 to 776 of the family's 1533-position model. The record is from RNAcentral.